CAUGGUUGUAAUGACCAAAAUCACUUAAAACUGAAGGAUGGACAGGAGGUGGUUGUAAUGAUUGAAAUCACCUGAAAUUGAAGGAAGGACAGGAUGUGCUUGUAAUGAAAGAAGUCACCUAAAAUUGAGGAAGAAGAUGGGAAGCAAUCGCAAUGACUAAAAUCACCAAAAUUUAAGAAAUGAAAUGUGACGUGAUUGUAAUGAUCGAAAUCACCUAAAACUAAAGAUAGGACGGGAG
RNAcentral lists this long non-coding RNA (238 nucleotides) under Vitis vinifera (wine grape). RNAcentral describes it as "long non-coding RNA (VVIN_LNC001061)". The record is from RNAcentral. Lineage: Eukaryota; Viridiplantae; Streptophyta; Magnoliopsida; Vitales; Vitaceae.